This 518-nucleotide ribosomal RNA is filed under the name uncultured Glomeromycotina. RNAcentral's name for it is "SSU rRNA". It matches the Rfam family "Eukaryotic small subunit ribosomal RNA", at positions 569 to 1092 of the family's 1831-position model. Lineage: Eukaryota; Fungi; Glomeromycota. The record is from RNAcentral.
AGCAGCCGCGGUAAUUCCAGCUCCAAUAGCGUAUAUUAAAGUUGUUGCAGUUAAAAAGCUCGUAGUUGAAUUUCGGGGUUCUUCCGUUGGUCAGGCUAACCAGUCUGUACUAGCGUGUAGAAUCCCUACCUUCUGGGGAACCAUCAUGUUAUUAAUUUAGCGUGGUGGGAAACCAGGACCUUUACCUUGAAAAAAUUAGAGUGUUCAAAGCAGGCUUACGUCUGAAUACAUUAGCAUGGAAUAAUAAAAUAGGACGGUGGUCCUGUUUUGUUGGUUUCUGAAUCACCGUAAUGAUUAAUAGGGAUAGUUGGGGGCAUUAGUAUUCAAUUGUCAGAGGUGAAAUUCUUGGAUUUAUUGAAGACUAACUUCUGCGAAAGCAUUUGCCAAGGAUGUUUUCAUUAAUCAAGAACGAAAGUUAGGGGAUCGAAGACGAUCAGAUACCGUCGUAGUCUUAACCAUAAACUAUGCCGACUAGGGAUCGGACGAUGUUAAAAAAAUGACGCGCUCGGCACCUCAUG